Molecule: ribosomal RNA, 253 nt
Filed under: uncultured bacterium
Lineage: Bacteria
Description: partial 16S ribosomal RNA
Rfam family: Bacterial small subunit ribosomal RNA
Source: RNAcentral
UACGAAGGGUGCAAGCGUUAAUCGGAAUUACUGGGCGUAAAGCGCGCGUAGGUCGUUUGGUAAGUUGGAAGUGAAAGCCCCGGGCUCAACCUGGGAAUUGCUUUCAAAACUGCCUGACUAGAGUACGGUAGAGGGUGGUGGAAUUUCCUGUGUAGCGGUGAAAUGCGUAGAUAUAGGAAGGAACAUCAGUGGCGAAGGCGACCACCUGGACUGAUACUGACACUGAGGUGCGAAAGCGUGGGGAGCAAACAGG